GACGAACGCUGGCGGCGUGCUUAACACAUGCAAGUCGAACGGAAAGGCCCUGCUUUUGUGGGGUGCUCGAGUGGCGAACGGGUGAGUAACACGUGAGUAACCUGCCCUUGACUUUGGGAUAACUUCAGGAAACUGGGGCUAAUACCGGAUAGGAGCUCCUGCUGCAUGGUGGGGGUUGGAAAGUUUCGGCGGUUGGGGAUGGACUCGCGGCUUAUCAGCUUGUUGGUGGGGUAGUGGCUUACCAAGGCUUUGACGGGUAGCCGGCCUGAGAGGGUGACCGGCCACAUUGGGACUGAGAUACGGCCCAGACUCCUACGGGAGGCAGCAGUGGGGAAUAUUGCACAAUGGGCGGAAGCCCGAUGCAGCAACGCCGCGUGCGGGAUGACGGCCUUCGGGUUGUAAACCGCUUUCGCCUGUGACGAAGCGUGAGUGACGGUAAUGGGUAAAGAAGCACCGGCUAACUACGUGCCAGCAGCCGCGGUGAUACGUAGGGUGCGAGCGUUGUCCGGAUUUAUUGGGCGUAAAGGGCUCGUAGGUGGUUGAUCGCGUCGGAAGUGUAAUCUUGGGGCUUAACCCUGAGCGUGCUUUCGAUACGGGUUGACUUGAGGAAGGUAGGGGAGAAUGGAAUUCCUGGUGGAGCGGUGGAAUGCGCAGAUAUCAGGAGGAACACCAGUGGCGAAGGCGGUUCUCUGGGCCUUUCCUGACGCUGAGGAGCGAAAGCGUGGGGAGCGAACAGGCUUAGAUACCCUGGUAGUCCACGCUGUAAACGGUGGGUACUAGGUGUGGGGUCCAUUCCACGGGUUCCGUGCCGUAGCUAACGCUUUAAGUACCCCGCCUGGGGAGUACGGCCGCAAGGCUAAAACUCAAAGGAAUUGACGGGGCCCCGCACAAGCGGCGGAGCAUGCGGAUUAAUUCGAUGCAACGCGUAGAACCUUACCUGGGUUUGACAUGGAUCGGGAGUGCUCAGAGAUGGGUGUGCCUCUUUUGGGGUCGGUUCACAGGUGGUGCAUGGCUGUCGUCAGCUCGUGUCGUGAGAUGUUGGGUUAAGUCCCGCAACGAGCGCAACCCUUGUUCACUGUUGCCAGCACGUUAUGGUGGGGACUCAGUGGAGACCGCCGGGGUCAACUCGGAGGAAGGUGGGGAUGACGUCAAGUCAUCAUGCCCCUUAUGUCCAGGGCUUCACGCAUGCUACAAUGGCUGGCAUAGAGAGUGGCGAGCCUGUGAGGGUGAGCGAAUCUCGGAAAGCCGGUCUCAGUUCGGAUUGGGGUCUGCAACUCGACCUCAUGAAGUCGGAGUCGCUAGUAAUCGCAGAUCAGCAACGCUGCGGUGAAUACGUUCCCGGG
RNAcentral lists this ribosomal RNA (1343 nucleotides) under uncultured bacterium. RNAcentral describes it as "16S ribosomal RNA". It matches the Rfam family "Bacterial small subunit ribosomal RNA", at positions 28 to 1378 of the family's 1533-position model. The record is from RNAcentral.